Molecule: unclassified non-coding RNA, 426 nt
Filed under: uncultured Alteromonadaceae bacterium
Lineage: Bacteria; Pseudomonadati; Pseudomonadota; Gammaproteobacteria; Alteromonadales; Alteromonadaceae
Description: partial 16S-23S ribosomal RNA intergenic spacer
Source: RNAcentral
CCUCCUUACUAUUACGUCGAGACGCCCUUGAUGCAGUGCCUACACAGAUUGUUUUGUUUAUUUAUAAAGACUCACUUCGCAAGUGUCGCGAAUAGCUGCUUAAACGGAAGUAACCUUCCUGACAGCCAUUUUGCUCGCUAAAGUGGUAGUUGUUUUUAAAUUAGAAUGCUAAUCAAUAACCUUAUUAUUGAUUAGUGUUUUUUUAUAAUGCACUAAUGUUCUUUAACAAUUUGGAAAGCUGAUAUUAAUAGUAAUCAAUCAAAAGAGUAAUUGAGAAGUCGAAAGACGCACUUUUUACUCCACUUGACUUGAAUUGCUUUGUUAUCGACAGCGCCGUAAGGCGGGUUAAUCGACUUGUUCGGUUAACAAAGAAGAUAGCAAAGGCAUUUCUUCCGAUUAGCUUGUCAUGCAUACAACCAUUACCCC